GUCUCAGGCCGUAUCAGCCUGAAGGCGCCCGAUCUCGUCUGAUCUCGGAAGCUAAGCAGGGUCGGGCCUGGUUAGGAUCUUGGAUGGGAACCACCUGGGGAAUCCCGGGGUCUCGAGGCU
RNAcentral lists this ribosomal RNA (120 nucleotides) under Bison bison bison. The record is from RNAcentral. Lineage: Eukaryota; Metazoa; Chordata; Mammalia; Artiodactyla; Bovidae.